CCGGUGUGUGUGUGUGUGUGUGUGUGUGUGUGUGCGCGCACGUGCACGCAAGCUCACACCUGCAUGUACG
Molecule: microRNA precursor, 70 nt
Filed under: Myotis lucifugus (little brown bat)
Lineage: Eukaryota; Metazoa; Chordata; Mammalia; Chiroptera; Vespertilionidae
Description: miRNA (ENSMLUG00000028758.1)
Source: RNAcentral